AAUGAGGAUAAUGGCUUUACUGCCCUGUCAUUUCGAUGAGGUAAUGAGGAUAAUAGCUUUAAUGCCCUGUCAUUUUGAUGAGGUAAUUAGGAUAAUGGCUUUACUGCCUUGACAUUUCGAUGAGGAUAAUGGAUUUACUGCCCUGUCAUUUCGCUGAGGUAAUGAGGAUAAUGGCUUUACUGCCCUGUCAUUUCGCUGAGGUAAUGAGGAUAAUGGCUUUACUGCCCUGUCAUUUCGCUGAGGUAAUGAGGAUAAUGGCUUUACUGCCCUGUCAUUUCGAUGAGAUAAUGAGGAUAAUGGCUUUACUGCCCUGUCAUUUCGCUGAGGUAAUGAGGAUAAUGGCUUUACUGCCCUGUCAUUUUGAUGAGGUAAUUAGGAUAAUGGCUUUACUGCCUUGCCAUUUCAAUGAGGUAAUGAGGCAAAUGGCUAUACUGCCCUGUCAUUUGGAUGAGGUAAUGAGGUUAAAUGGCUUUACUGCCCUGUCAUUUCGAUGAGGUAAUGAGGAUAAUGGCUUUACUGCGCUGUAAUUUCGAUGAGGUAAUGAGGAUAAUGGCUUUACUGCCCUGUAAUUUCGAUGAGGUAAUGAGGCUAAUGGCUUUACUGUCCUGUAAUUUCGAUGAGGUAAUGAGGAUAAUGGCUUUACUGCCCUGUCAUUUCAAUGAGGUAAUGAGGAUAAUGGCUUUACUGCCCUGUCAUUUCGAUGAGGUAAUGAGGAUAAUGGCUUUACUGCCCUGUCAUUUGCUUACCAUAUGACCCAUAUUUACAAAACAAAAUGGCACCAAACUGACAUGUUUUAUUUUGAUGACAAUCAUUCAAAUCCUUACAAAUGAAAAGGCAGAUCAACAAAUUCUUUGCAUAUUUUAUUUGUAUUUUCUUCCAACUUUCAACUCACACGUGGUCAUAUUUUACAUCUUUGUAAUAAAACAUGAAUACAAUAGUUUUUUUUGGGGGGG
Oncorhynchus tshawytscha (Chinook salmon) is the source of this 953-nucleotide long non-coding RNA. NCBI's taxonomy places the organism in Eukaryota, Metazoa, Chordata, Actinopteri, Salmoniformes, Salmonidae. The record is from Ensembl.